GUCCAGAUGUUCAUCAGUGGUCUUGGGUGUAGGCUUCAAACCUGUAGCUGUUUAGCGACAGAGUGAUUUAGUUCCACCCUCUGGGCA
This is a non-coding RNA of Pseudophryne corroboree (corroboree frog), 87 nucleotides long. Lineage: Eukaryota; Metazoa; Chordata; Amphibia; Anura; Myobatrachidae. The record is from the annotation of a RefSeq genome assembly.